AAAUGCCAAAUGUUGAGUUUUCUAUAGGGCUUUGAGGAGACCUCACAACCAACCACAUCAAUCGAUUUACAGCACUUGUACCUAAAGCUCUUUUAAAAACAGAACUUAUUUACCUUGAGAAGAAAUCCACAGAUUGCCAUUUGUCUUUCUCAUCCACCAGAAUAGUUGUUCAGGACUGCACUGAUCCUUCAGAUCUAUUUUUGGGUGUGUGGAUCUCCUCUCCUUCAUCCAUGGCCCUCAUCUGGGUAUGCAUUGCGUUCCUCAUUUCACUCUUAAGAAGAAGCACAGGACAGUCAGUGGACCAAACAUCUGGCAUUGUGACUGUUACUGGAGGACAACUGGUCUCUCUCAAUUGUUCCUAUGAAAAAGAGUUUCCUGUGACAAAUGACCUUUUCUGGUACAUUCAACAUCCUGGUCAACCUCUGAAAUUCUUUUUGGCAUCUUACUUGAAAAACCCUCAAGGAUUCCAAGCUACUCACGUUUCCCAUGAAAACAAAAAGGGGACUUUCAAUUUGCAGAUACGUGCCUGCCAACUGAAGGACUCUGCUGUCUACUUCUGUGCCUCCAGUGAGACACUGUGUGACAAAGUUAACAAGAAGCCAACAGAAAAGUCACAAAGGGGGAGAAAAGCAGUGAAGGUGUUCUCAGAAAUGAAAAUUCCAAUAGUUCCUUUGAGAUUAAGGUUCAUGAACAUAGAUGGACGUAAUCCAGAUCAACCUUGCAAUGGAAUGGAGAGGUUGACAAGAUCAGAAAUGAGGAGGUGAUCAGCUGCCUGAGAAAGCCAAGGGAAA
Crotalus tigris (Tiger rattlesnake) is the source of this 791-nucleotide non-coding RNA. The record is from the annotation of a RefSeq genome assembly. Lineage: Eukaryota; Metazoa; Chordata; Lepidosauria; Squamata; Viperidae.